Long non-coding RNA from Notolabrus celidotus (New Zealand spotty), 410 nucleotides. RefSeq lists it as uncharacterized. NCBI's taxonomy places the organism in Eukaryota, Metazoa, Chordata, Actinopteri, Labriformes, Labridae. The record is from RefSeq and is a predicted model, not a curated record. The transcript has 2 exons.
UCUGUCUCCAAGGCUGCCUGCUCCACUCGCUCUGAGCCUGCAGGGAGCGGCAACAGAGUCUUUCCUUGGACUUGUCCUGACACCACAAACACAUUGGUUUUAAGGGAGUGUACAUGGCGUCUGAUGUCCUGGGACACCACCUGUGGCCAUUCGGCAUGGUUCCUGCGGUUAGACAGCAGCGGGGCCACCACCUGGAGGACAGUGAGGAUUAGGAGUUUAUUCAACAGCUCUCAGAUGUGUAAGCGCUCCAGCAUGAGAGCAGUGAUCUGGAUUCAGCUCAGGAGGAGUAACAAUGUUGGUAUUUGUCCUAGAGUAUCCAUCAACACAAACUCCCCCCUGUAAAAUAAAACUGAACUGAGUUCACAGCUUGGAACAUGUCCGAGGAUUAAAAGAGAGGAACGUAUACAACA